Molecule: ribosomal RNA, 1052 nt
Filed under: Lentzea sp. YIM 75778
Lineage: Bacteria; Bacillati; Actinomycetota; Actinomycetes; Pseudonocardiales; Pseudonocardiaceae
Description: bacterial SSU rRNA
Rfam family: Bacterial small subunit ribosomal RNA
Source: RNAcentral
CGGCGGCGUGCUUACCAUGCAGUCGAGCGGUAAGGCCCUUCGGGGUACACGAGCGGCGAACGGGUGAGUAACACGUGGGUAACCUGCCCUGUACUCUGGGAUAAGCCUUGGAAACGAGGUCUAAUACCGGAUAUGACACCGAUCCGCAUGGUUUGGUGUGGAAAGUUCCGGCGGUACAGGAUGGACCCGCGGCCUAUCAGCUUGUUGGUGGGGUAAUGGCCUACCAAGGCGACGACGGGUAGCCGGCCUGAGAGGGUGAUCGGCCACACUGGGACUGAGACACGGCCCAGACUCCUACGGGAGGCAGCAGUGGGGAAUAUUGCACAAUGGGCGAAAGCCUGAUGCAGCGACGCCGCGUGAGGGAUGACGGCCUUCGGGUUGUAAACCUCUUUCAGCAGGGACGAAGCGCAAGUGACGGUACCUGCAGAAGAAGCACCGGCUAACUACGUGCCAGCAGCCGCGGUAAUACGUAGGGUGCGAGCGUUGUCCGGAAUUAUUGGGCGUAAAGAGCUCGUAGGCGGUUUGUCGCGUCGGCCGUGAAAACUUGGGGCUUAACUCCAAGCUUGCGGUCGAUACGGGCAGACUUGAGUUCGGCAGGGGAGACUGGAAUUCCUGGUGUAGCGGUGAAAUGCGCAGAUAUCAGGAGGAACACCGGUGGCGAAGGCGGGUCUCUGGGCCGAUACUGACGCUGAGGAGCGAAAGCGUGGGGAGCGAACAGGAUUAGAUACCCUGGUAGUCCACGCCGUAAACGGUGGGUGCUAGGUGUGGGGGGCUUCCACGCCCUCUGUGCCGCAGCUAACGCAUUAAGCACCCCGCCUGGGGAGUACGGCCGCAAGGCUAAAACUCAAAGGAAUUGACGGGGCCCGCACAAGCGGCGGAGCAUGUGGAUUAAUUCGAUGCAACGCGAAGAACCUUACCUGGGCUUGACAUGGACUAGAAAGCUCUAGAGAUAGAGCCUCCCUUGUGGCUGGUUCACAGUGGUGCAUGGCUGUCGUCAGCUCGUGUCGUGAGAUUUUGGGUUAGUCCCGCAACGAGCGCAACCCUCGUUCCAU